AUUGAACGCUGGCGGCAGGCUUAACACAUGCAAGUCGAGCGAGCGGCGGACGGGUGAGUAAUGUCUGGGAAACUGCCUGAUGGAGGGGGAUAACUACUGGAAACGGUAGCUAAUACCGCAUACCAUCAGAUGUGCCCAGAUGGGAUUAGCUAGUAGGUGAGGUAACGGCUCACCAAGGCCACGAUGCAUAGCCGACCUGAGAGGGUGAUCGGCAACACUGGGACUGAGACACGGUCCAGACGCCUACGGGAGGCAGCAGAGGGGAAUAUUGCACAAUGGGCGCAAGCCUGAUGCAGCCAUGCCGCGUGUGUGAAGAAGGCCUUCGGGUUGUAAAGCACUUUCAGCGAGGAGGCGUUACUCGCAGAAGAAGCACCGGCUAACUCCGUGCCAGCAGCCGCGGUAAUUC
RNAcentral lists this ribosomal RNA (406 nucleotides) under uncultured bacterium. RNAcentral describes it as "partial 16S ribosomal RNA". It matches the Rfam family "Bacterial small subunit ribosomal RNA", at positions 30 to 526 of the family's 1533-position model. The record is from RNAcentral.